RNAcentral lists this ribosomal RNA (489 nucleotides) under uncultured bacterium. RNAcentral's name for it is "partial 16S ribosomal RNA". It matches the Rfam family "Bacterial small subunit ribosomal RNA", at positions 28 to 507 of the family's 1533-position model. The record is from RNAcentral.
GAUGAACGCUAACUACAGGCUUAACACAUGCAAGUCGAGGGGCAGCAUGAACUUAGCUUGCUAAGUUUGAUGGCGACCGGCGCACGGGUGAGUAACACGUAUCCAACCUGCCGAUGACUCGGGGAUAGCCUUUCGAAAGAAAGAUUAAUACCCGAUGGCAUAGUUCUUCCGCAUGGUAGAACUAUUAAAGAAUUUCGGUCAUCGAUGGGGAUGCGUUCCAUUAGGUUGUUGGCGGGGUAACGGCCCACCAAGCCUUCGAUGGAUAGGGGUUCUGAGAGGAAGGUCCCCCACAUUGGAACUGAGACACGGUCCAAACUCCUACGGGAGGCAGCAGUGAGGAAUAUUGGUCAAUGGACGAGAGUCUGAACCAGCCAAGUAGCGUGAAGGAUGACUGCCCUAUGGGUUGUAAACUUCUUUUAUACGGGAAUAAAGUGAGGCACGUGUGCCUUUUUGUAUGUACCGUAUGAAUAAGGAUCGGCUAACUCCGUG